CAUGUAUUCUGUAAGACUUGCACUCUUGGCCAGUUUGGUUGUCGCAACAGCAGGCACAUACACUCUAGAGGAUCUAAAGCAUGCAACACAGAAGAUAUUUUGCAAGACUGUCAAAUGGUGGAAGAGGACAUCAUGGACCAAUAAUGUAUAUUAGUACAAGACAAGGAGGACCAGGCACAGCCAACACCUUGAUUUUCUGGGACCCUUUCGAGCACUGUGCAGUAUUUGAACAGACACACAGUGGUAAGAAAGAAUGCCAUAUGUACGUGUGGGAGGAUCGCCUUUACCAAAGCGUACCGAAAUGUGAACAUGCAUAUCAGGCUUGCGCGAGAUACAUAUGCCCUCGAUACACGCACCACUGCAGGCCAUGACGGGAAAAUAAAUAUUUUUUAUGCUUC
This 398-nucleotide long non-coding RNA is filed under the name Dermacentor andersoni. RNAcentral's name for it is "uncharacterized LOC126534374". The record is from RNAcentral. Lineage: Eukaryota; Metazoa; Arthropoda; Arachnida; Ixodida; Ixodidae.